RNA transcript from Manis pentadactyla (Chinese pangolin), 1162 nucleotides. It is a transcript of the gene named SLX1 homolog A, structure-specific endonuclease subunit, with no coding region annotated. NCBI's taxonomy places the organism in Eukaryota, Metazoa, Chordata, Mammalia, Pholidota, Manidae. The record is from RefSeq and is a predicted model, not a curated record. The transcript has 6 exons.
CCUGGGGUGUGUGGGUCGGUUUGUACGCCCUAACUCCAGCCAGGAGAGGGCCUCUGCUGUGACCACUGGAGUACCUCGGGAUCGCCCCUAAGCGUUUUUUCCGAGACAAGCAUCUUUCGACCUUGGCAACAUAGCUGUCCCUGAAGUCAUAGGCCACAGGAAUCAACCCACAAGUCCUGAUGGACCCCGCAAGGGGCGCAGCGAGACCCGGGCGCUUUUUCGGCGUCUAUCUGCUCUAUUGCCUAAACCCUCGGCACCGGGGCCGCGUUUAUGUGGGGUUUACCGUCAACCCUGCUCGUCGGGUCCAGCAGCACAACGGGGGCCGCAAGAAAGGCGGGGCUUACAGGACAAGCGGGCGCGGACCUUGGGAGAUGGUGCUCAUCGUGCACGGCUUCCCUUCUGCCGUGGCCGCCCUUCGGUUCGAGUGGGCCUGGCAGCACCCGCACGCCUCGCGCCGCCUGGCGCACGUGGGUCCGCGCCUACGUGCCGAGGCCGCCUUUGCUUUCCACCUGCGCGUGCUCGCGCACAUGCUGCGCGCGCCGCCCUGGGCUCGCCUUCCGCUCACCCUGCGCUGGUUGCGCGCCGACUUCUCCCGUGAUCUCUGCCCGCCGCCGCCGCAGCACGUGCCCCUGGCCUUUGGGCCUCUGCCUCCCCGGGCUUCUGCUCCGAGGCGCCCCGCAGUUCCCUUUGCUGACACACAGUCCGAGCCGGACCAGGCCCCUGAGGCCUGUUGCUCCGUGUGUGGGCGUGUGCUCAAGGAUGGAGAGGGCCCCCUCUGUUGCCCCUAUGCUGGCUGCCCCCUAAGAGCCCAUAUGAUCUGCCUGGCAGGGGAGUUCCUGCAAGAGGAGCCAGGGCAGCUUCUGCCCCUGGAGGGCCAGUGCCCCGGAGCAUAGCCUGGAGGACGCUUGUGAUCUUGACUCUGUGUCUUCUACCAACUGCACCCCUUGGUAGCUGUAAGAACUCACUGCUCUGGGGAGACCUGAUCUGGCUGUACCACAUGGGCACCAAGGAGGAAGAGGAGGACCUGGAAUUAGAAGAGGAACACUGGACAGACUUGCUGGAGACCUGAUCCUCAGUAUCCCCAAUCCUCCACACACUUCUGUGCCACCCCCUGUGGGUCUCGGCAGUUUUUACUUGAGCACAAUAAAAAGUCUGAGUUAAG